RNAcentral lists this ribosomal RNA (490 nucleotides) under uncultured bacterium. RNAcentral describes it as "partial 16S ribosomal RNA". It matches the Rfam family "Bacterial small subunit ribosomal RNA", at positions 30 to 507 of the family's 1533-position model. The record is from RNAcentral.
AUUGAACGCUGGCGGCAGGCCUAACACAUGCAAGUCGAACGGUAACAGGAAACAGCUUGCUGUUUCGCUGACGAGUGGCGGACGGGUGAGUAAUGUCUGGGAAACUGCCUGAUGGAGGGGGAUACCUACUGGAAACGGUAGCUAAUACCGCAUAACGUCGCAAGACCAAAGAGGGGGACCCUCGGGCCUCUUGCCAUCGGAUGUGCCCAGAUGGGAUUAGCUUGUUGGUGGGGUAACGGCUCACCAAGGCGACGAUCCCUAGCUGGUCUGAGAGGAUGACCAGCCACACUGGAACUGAGACACGGUCCAGACUCCUACGGGAGGCAGCAGUGGGGAAUAUUGCACAAUGGGCGCAAGCCUGAUGCAGCCAUGCCGCGUGUAUGAAGAAGGCCUUCGGGUUGUAAAGUACUUUCAGCGGGGAGGAAGGGAGUAAAGUUAAUACCUUUGCUCAUUGACGUUACCCGCAGAAGAAGCACCGGCUAACUCCGUG